Molecule: non-coding RNA, 95 nt
Organism: Ataeniobius toweri
Lineage: Eukaryota; Metazoa; Chordata; Actinopteri; Cyprinodontiformes; Goodeidae
Source: the annotation of a GenBank genome assembly
GCGCUGGUGGUGUAGGGGUUAAGCACACGACCAUAUAUGGAGACUAUAAUCCUCGAUGUGGCCAUCCUGGGUUCAAGUCCCAGACCUGGCGACCU